AGAAACAGUUCAGCAGCAAGUUUAGAUAACCUACAAAAUAUGGAAAAAGUGGAACUUACCCACCUAAUUUUAAUCGUACAACACUGACAGUAAGAAACUGCCAUGAAAGGAGGAAGUAGACCCUGGGAAGCAAGCUACACAGCAGUGUCUUCUGUAACUUUGGAUGCUAUUAAAAAAAUUCAGCAAAGUUUGGCAGGAUCAUACAGCUUUUGGAGAUAUUGCAUGACAGUGUAUCAGAGAAUCCACAUGGCAGAGAACAUCUAUGAAUGGUCCAAUUGCAGAAAAAGCUUCAGUCAGAUCUUGCACCUUGUUAGGUGCAAACAACCCCAAAAACAGUUCAUGUUCUGAUUGAGAAGCUUAAAGCCCUAACUAAAGUCAUCCCUGCUAAGAGUUGCCAUCCUCUUAGAGCUGCUGGUGGACCUGCUGGUAUUGAACUGCUUUCUAACCUAUUUCAGUGAAGAUGAACUGCCUUCUCAUAAACAGCCUUUUUGGGUAAGCUUACAGAAUGCUCAUGAAAAGUAACACGAGCAGUAAGUAAAAAGCAACUUCCAUCUGCAGA
This 559-nucleotide long non-coding RNA is filed under the name Dromaius novaehollandiae (emu). Its description in RNAcentral is "lncRNA (ENSDNVG00000015300.1)". The record is from RNAcentral. Lineage: Eukaryota; Metazoa; Chordata; Aves; Casuariiformes; Dromaiidae.